AUUGAACGCUAGCGGGAUGCCUUACACAUGCAAGUCGAACGGCAGCACGGACUUCGGUCUGGUGGCGAGUGGCGAACGGGUGAGUAAUGUAUCGGAACGUGCCUAGUAGCGGGGGAUAACUACGCGAAAGCGUAGCUAAUACCGCAUACGCCCUACGGGGGAAAGCAGGGGAUCGCAAGACCUUGCACUAUUAGAGCGGCCGAUAUCGGAUUAGCUAGUUGGUGGGGUAACGGCUCACCAAGGCGACGAUCCGUAGCUGGUUUGAGAGGACGACCAGCCACACUGGGACUGAGACACGGCCCAGACUCCUACGGGAGGCAGCAGUGGGGAAUUUUGGACAAUGGGGGAAACCCUGAUCCAGCCAUCCCGCGUGUGCGAUGAAGGCCUUCGGGUUGUAAAGCACUUUUGGCAGGAAAGAAACGUCGCGGGUUAAUACCCCGCGGAACUGACGGUACCUGCAGAAUAAGCACCGGCUAACUACGUGCCAGCAGCCGCGGUAAUACGUAGGGUGCAAGCGUUAAUCGGAAUUACUGGGCGUAAAGCGUGCGCAGGCGGUUCGGAAAGAAAGAUGUGAAAUCCCAGAGCUUAACUUUGGAACUGCAUUUUUAACUACCGAGCUAGAGUGUGUCAGAGGGAGGUGGAAUUCCGCGUG
This 652-nucleotide ribosomal RNA is filed under the name uncultured beta proteobacterium. RNAcentral describes it as "bacterial SSU rRNA". It matches the Rfam family "Bacterial small subunit ribosomal RNA", at positions 28 to 675 of the family's 1533-position model. The record is from RNAcentral. Lineage: Bacteria; Pseudomonadati; Pseudomonadota; Betaproteobacteria.